Non-coding RNA from Picea glauca (white spruce), 123 nucleotides. Lineage: Eukaryota; Viridiplantae; Streptophyta; Pinopsida; Pinales; Pinaceae. The record is from Rfam.
AUGUGCAUUCCUACAACAUAGCGUUAAUGCAUCAGAUCCCAUUAAAACUUUGCAGUUAAAUGCGCUCGGGCCAGAGUAGUACUAGGAUGAGUGACCACCUGGGAAGUCCAAGUAUUUUACAUG